This 158-nucleotide small RNA is filed under the name Chelonoidis abingdonii (Abingdon island giant tortoise). RNAcentral's name for it is "TUC338 (ENSCABG00000003017.1)". The record is from RNAcentral. Lineage: Eukaryota; Metazoa; Chordata; Testudines; Testudinidae.
AUGGCAGCCUGUGAGACUAAAAUCCUCUAUUUCUGUACAGAACAGGUGUAGCACAGGCAGUGUCAGCUUCCCCACACUGGCUUCUACUAAUCUGCCUCAUCCAUGGUCUCAAGUGAGAGAACAGUUUACCCUCCAUAACCAUUCAGUACUCAGCCUCU